AGUUCCGAAGGUAUAUACAUUAUGUUAAGUAAGGCUCCAUCUCAAAAUUGAUUGACUUUAAACUUGAAAUUGCAUGUGAUAUUUGUAUUCCAUUUAAGUGAACAUUUGGAAUUUAUUUCAGAGAUACUAUUUUUAAUGCCUGAGAAAUUCGUGUGGCACAAUGCAUCACUUCAUUAUUUGUUACUAAUUAGUUAUUUAUUACUUUCUUUACAGAGUAAAGUGAAAGUAAUGAGAGCCGAUAGGUACGAGGUCAGAAGAUUACAUGAGAGAGGAACGCUGUGGAAAUAAACAUAAUAUCUUUACAAAUAAAUACAUCAAAAUAAAAAGAAGACAUUCAAUUUGAUGUACAUGCUUUUGUUGUCAGAUAAGUAAACGAAUUUAUUAAUUCAUA
Pecten maximus is the source of this 391-nucleotide long non-coding RNA. RefSeq lists it as uncharacterized. NCBI's taxonomy places the organism in Eukaryota, Metazoa, Mollusca, Bivalvia, Pectinida, Pectinidae. The record is from RefSeq and is a predicted model, not a curated record. The transcript is spliced from 2 exons.